UACAGAGGGUGCAAGCGUUAAUCGGAAUUACUGGGCGUAAAGCGAACGUAGACGGUUGGAUAAGUCGGAUGUGAAAGCCACGGGCUCAACCUGGGAAUUGCAUUCGAGACUGUUCAGCUAGGGUGCGGAAGAGGGAAGCGGAAUUUCCGGUGUAGCGGUGAAAUGCGUAGAUAUCGGAAGGAACACCAGUGGCGAAAGCGGCUUCCUGGUCCAGCACCGACGUUCAGGUUCGAAAGCGUGGGGAGCAAACAGG
This 253-nucleotide unclassified non-coding RNA is filed under the name uncultured Gammaproteobacteria bacterium. RNAcentral's name for it is "contains 16S-23S intergenic spacer region". It matches the Rfam family "Bacterial small subunit ribosomal RNA", at positions 524 to 776 of the family's 1533-position model. The record is from RNAcentral. Lineage: Bacteria; Pseudomonadati; Pseudomonadota; Gammaproteobacteria.